Molecule: ribosomal RNA, 484 nt
Filed under: uncultured bacterium
Lineage: Bacteria
Description: partial 16S ribosomal RNA
Rfam family: Bacterial small subunit ribosomal RNA
Source: RNAcentral
AUUGAACGCUGGCGGCAUGCUUUACACAUGCCAGUCGAACGGCAGCGCGGGCUUCGGCCUGGCGGCGAGUGGCGAACGGGUGAGUAAUACAUCGGAACGUGCCCAGUGGUGGGGGCUAGCUCGGCGAAAGCCGGAUUAAUACCGCAUACGACCUGAGGGUGGAAGCGGGGGAUCUUCGGACCUCGCGCUCUUGGAGCGGCCGAUGGCAGAUUAGCUAGUUGGUGGGGUAAAGGCCUACCAAGGCGAGGAUCUGUAGCUGGUCUGAGAGGACGACCAGCCACACUGGGACUGAAACACGGCCCAGACUCCUACGGGAGGCAGCAGUGGGGAAUUUUGGACAAUGGGCGAAAGCCUGAUCCAGCAAGGCCGCGUGUGUGAUGAAGGCCUUCGGGUUGUAAAGCACUUUUGGCGGGAACGAAAAGGACUGUGCCAAUACCACGGUUCGAUGACGGUACCCGCAGAAUAAGCACCGGCUAACUACGUG